RNAcentral lists this ribosomal RNA (84 nucleotides) under Pteropus alecto (black flying fox). The record is from RNAcentral. Lineage: Eukaryota; Metazoa; Chordata; Mammalia; Chiroptera; Pteropodidae.
UGUCUGAUCUCGGAAGCUAAGCAGGGUCGGGCCUUAUUAGUACUUGUAUGGGAGACCACCUAGGAAAAUCAAGUGCUAUAGGCA